This 842-nucleotide long non-coding RNA is filed under the name Homo sapiens (human). RNAcentral describes it as "HSALNT0362264". The record is from RNAcentral. Lineage: Eukaryota; Metazoa; Chordata; Mammalia; Primates; Hominidae.
UCACGCUGGGAGCUGUAGACCGGAGCUGUUCCUAUUCGGCCAUCUUGAAUUGUAGGCAUUUUUAAAAACAGACUCUGGAGAUGAAUCUUUUCUAGUUAUAUACUUUGUAUUACAUUUAUGCACUGUCUGCUGCCAAAGAUCUGAAACCAAUGAUCUCAUAUAUAUGAGUGUGUACUAGUCUCAGUAAGUCAAUGGGUUUCCCUGGAUCCAGGCUUGGAGAAAAUGUUUUCUCUUCUCUAUCUGCAAUUCUCCUGAACCAAUUCUGACGGAUAAUAUGACUGUGUCAACCACAAAAGAGGAAAAGAAUGGGCUUUAAAUCCCGCCUUUACAGCCAUCCAAGGCAGCUCCUUCUUCAAAGGAUGGAACUUUAAGGAUGGAACCAAUUGGCUACAAAUCAUUUUAGCUGAUGCACUGAGACAAUUCUGAAGCAAACUGUCUUAUCCUGGAUUUUGUCAGUAACUGGAGUUGAAGGACUUGAAGAUUCUCAAGGAUUGAUCCAGAAUAUGUUCCAGCAAAAACUACAGCAGAGUAACUUUGACAAGAAAAAUGUUCACUUGCUACCUAAGGAGAGUCUCUGUCUCCUGACCUCUGAAUUUCGAAAUCCUCAGCUCUGGCUGCCACGCAGUGGGAACCGAAUGAGAUGGCUGGGCAGGGUUCUGCAACACAGCAGAAACCCCAGGCUUCCCAAGACCCAGGAUCAGAACUGUAUAAUGUCACUUCUGCCUCACUUUGUUGGACAAAGUAUGUCACAAGAUCAUCUCAGUGGUGGUAAAAUUAUUAUUAUUAUUAUUUUAAGGCAGAGUCUCACUUUGUCACCCAGGCUGGAGUGCAGUGGUGUGAUC